This 478-nucleotide ribosomal RNA is filed under the name uncultured bacterium. RNAcentral's name for it is "partial 16S ribosomal RNA". It matches the Rfam family "Bacterial small subunit ribosomal RNA", at positions 28 to 523 of the family's 1533-position model. The record is from RNAcentral.
GACGAACGCUGGCGGCGUGCUUAACACAUGCAAGUCGAGCGAUGAAGUUCCUUCGGGAACGGAUUAGCGGCGGACGGGUGAGUAACACGUGGGUAACCUGCCUCAUAGAGGGGAAUAGCCUUCCGAAAGGAAGAUUGAUACCGCAUAAGAUUGUAGUAUCGCAUGAUACAGCAAUUAAAGGAGCAAUCCGCUAUGAGAUGGACCCGCGUCGCAUUAGCGAGUUGGUGAGGUAACGGCUCACCAAGGCGACGAUGCGUAGCCGACCUGAGAGGGUGAUCGGCCACAUUGGGACUGGGACACGGCCCAGACUCCUACGGGAGGCAGCAGUGGGGAAUAUUGCACAAUGGGGGAAACCCUGAUGCAGCAACGCCGCGUGAGUGAUGAAGGUCUUCGGAUUGUAAAACUCUGUCUUCAGGGACGAUAAUGACGGUACCUGAGGAGGAAGCCACGGCUAACUACGUGCCAGCAGCCGCAGUAA